GGGGAUGAUCGGCUUCGAUAAGGAUGCGUUCUGAAUUUGCGGACCGAGGGCGGACUCGUUAAACUCGCGAAAAAACAAUAACUGCCAACUCAAAAGUUGCGGCUCCGGCAUUCGCUUACGCGUAACACCGGAGGAUCGGCUAAUCUGGACCUCUUAGGUUAAUACCGGUCUUAUAUAAGGAGGCGUAGUUCCGAUGGAUGAUUCUGCAUUGGAGCGAAAAUUAGAAUCGCUUUUGUUCAGUUCUUAACUGAAAUACGUUCGUAGAUGGUUCAGCGGCGCAAUCCUUAGACGGCGGUUCAAUUCCGCCCAUCUCCACCG
This 318-nucleotide transfer-messenger RNA is filed under the name Patescibacteria group bacterium. It matches the Rfam family "transfer-messenger RNA". From Rfam's summary of the family: Bacterial tmRNA, also known as 10Sa RNA or SsrA, is named for its dual tRNA and mRNA-like properties. RNAcentral also lists the same sequence under 1 other name. The record is from RNAcentral.